UAGAGUUUGAUCCUGGCUCAGAUUGAACGCUGGCGGCAUGCCUUACACAUGCAAGUCGAACGGCAGCACGGGGGCAACCCUGGUGGCGAGUGGCGAACGGGUGAGUAAUGCAUCGGAACGUGCCCAGUAGUGGGGGAUAGCUCGGCGAAAGCCGGAUUAAUACCGCAUACGACCUAUGGGUGAAAGCGGGGGACCGCAAGGCCUCGCGCUGUUGGAGCGGCCGAUGUCAGAUUAGGUUGUUGGUGGGGUAAAGGCCCACCAAGCCGACGAUCUGUAGCUGGUCUGAGAGGACGACCAGCCACACUGGGACUGAGACACGGCCCAGACUCCUACGGGAGGCAGCAGUGGGGAAUUUUGGACAAUGGGGGCAACCCUGAUCCAGCCAUGCCGCGUGCGGGAAGAAGGCCUUCGGGUUGUAAACCGCUUUUGUCAGGGAAGAAAUCUUCCAGGCUAAUACCUUGGGAGGAUGACGGUACCUGAAGAAUAAGCACCGGCUAACUACGUGCCAGCAGCCCCGGUCAA
RNAcentral lists this ribosomal RNA (522 nucleotides) under uncultured bacterium. RNAcentral's name for it is "bacterial SSU rRNA". It matches the Rfam family "Bacterial small subunit ribosomal RNA", at positions 1 to 524 of the family's 1533-position model. The record is from RNAcentral.